CCUACGGGAGGCAGCAGUGGGGAAUAUUGGGCAAUGGGCGCAAGCCUGACCCAGCAACGCCGCGUGAAGGAAGAAGGCUUUCGGGUUGUAAACUUCUUUUCUCAGGGACGAAGCAAGUGACGGUACCUGAGGAAUAAGCCACGGCUAACUACGUGCCAGCAGCCGCGGUAAUACGUAGGUGGCAAGCGUUAUCCGUAUUUACUGGGUGUAAAGGGCGGGUAGGCGGGAAAGCAAGUCAGAUGUGAAAAACAUGGGCUCAACCUGUGGCCUGCAUUUGAAACUGUUUUUCUUGAGUACUGGAGAGGCAGACGGAAUUCCUAGUGUAGCGGUGAAAUGCGUAGAUAUUAGGAGGAACACCAGUGGCGAAGGCGGUCUGCUGGACAGCAACUGACGCUGAGGCGCGAAAGCGUGGGGAGCAAACAGGAUUAGAUACCCCUGUAGUC
This 443-nucleotide ribosomal RNA is filed under the name uncultured bacterium. RNAcentral describes it as "partial 16S ribosomal RNA". It matches the Rfam family "Bacterial small subunit ribosomal RNA", at positions 338 to 795 of the family's 1533-position model. The record is from RNAcentral.